RNAcentral lists this ribosomal RNA (252 nucleotides) under uncultured bacterium. RNAcentral's name for it is "partial 16S ribosomal RNA". It matches the Rfam family "Bacterial small subunit ribosomal RNA", at positions 524 to 776 of the family's 1533-position model. The record is from RNAcentral.
UACGGAGGGGCGAGCGUUAUUCGGAAUUAUUGGGCGUAAAGGGCGCGUAGGCGGCUGUACAAGUCAAAGGUGAAAUCCCUCGGCUCAACUGAGGAACUGCCUUUGAAACUGUACGGCUUGAGGCCGGGAGGGGGUAGCGGAAUUCCCAGUGUAGCGGUGAAAUGCGUAGAUACUGGGAGGAACACCAGUGGCGAAGGCGGCUACCUGGACCGGUUCUGACGCUGAGGCGCGAAAGCGUGGGGAGCAAACAGG